GACGAACGCUGGCGGCGUGCCUAAUACAUGCAAGUGGGACGCAAGGGAACACACUGUGCUUGCACACCGUGUUUUCUUGAGUCGCGAACGGGUGAGUAACGCGUAGGUAACCUGCCUAUUAGCGGGGGAUAACUAUUGGAAACGAUAGCUAAUACCGCAUAAUAUUAAUUAUUGCAUGAUAAUUGAUUGAAAGAUGCAAGCGCAUCACUAGUAGAUGGACCUGCGUUGUAUUAGCUAGUUGGUAAGGUAAGAGCUUACCAAGGCGACGAUACAUAGCCGACCUGAGAGGGUGAUCGGCCACACUGGGACUGAGACACGGCCCAGACUCCUACGGGAGGCAGCAGUAGGGAAUCUUCGGCAAUGGACGAAAGUCUGACCGAGCAACGCCGCGUGAGUGAAGGAGGUUUUCGGAUCGUAAAGCUCUGUUGUAAGUCAAGAACGUGUGUGAGAGUGGA
Molecule: ribosomal RNA, 455 nt
Filed under: Streptococcus mutans
Lineage: Bacteria; Bacillati; Bacillota; Bacilli; Lactobacillales; Streptococcaceae
Description: bacterial SSU rRNA
Rfam family: Bacterial small subunit ribosomal RNA
Source: RNAcentral